This 916-nucleotide ribosomal RNA is filed under the name uncultured bacterium. RNAcentral's name for it is "bacterial SSU rRNA". It matches the Rfam family "Bacterial small subunit ribosomal RNA", at positions 8 to 916 of the family's 1533-position model. The record is from RNAcentral.
AGAGUUUGAUCCUGGCUCAGAUUGAACGCUGGCGGCAUGCCUAACACAUGCAAGUCGAACGGAAACGAUGGGAGCUUGCUCCCAGGCGUCGAGUGGCGGACGGGUGAGUAAUACUUAGGAAUCUGCCCAUUAGUGGGGGACAACAUUCGGAAACGGAUGCUAAUACCGCAUACGCCCUUCGGGGGAAAGCAGGGGAUCUUCGGACCUUGCGCUAUUGGAUGAGCCUAUGCCUGAUUAGCUUGUUGGUGGGGUAACGGCCUACCAAGGCAACGACGGGUAGCCGGACUGAGAGGUCGAUCGGCCACAUUGGGACUGAGAUACUGCCCAGACUCCUACGGGAGGCUGCAGGGACGAAUAUUGGGCAAUGGGCGAAAGCCUGACCCAGCGACGCCGCGUGUGGGAGGAAGCCCUUCGGGGUGUAAACCACUGUCAAGAGUUACCAAGCAAUUCCCGCUAAUACCGGGAGGCGUUGAGGAGCUCCGAAGGAAGCCACGGCUAACUUCGUGCCAGCAGCCGCGGUAAGACGAAGGUGGCUAGCGUUGUUCGGAAUCAUUGGGCUUAAAGAGCACGUAGGCGGCCCGUCAAGCGUCUUGUGAAAUCCCUCGGCUCAACCGAGGAAUGGCUUGGCGAACUGGCGGGCUUGAGACAGGCAAGGGUGCGUGGAACUCUUGGUGGAGCGGUGAAAUGCGUAGAUAUCAAGAGGAACGCCGGUGGCGAAAGCGAUGCACUGGGCCUGACCUGACGCUGAGGUGCGAAAGCUAGGGUAGCGAACGGGAUUAGAUACCCCGGUAGUCCUAGCCGUAAACGAUGUCCACUAGGCUGAGGAUCUUUUGACGGAAUCUCGGCCGCAGCUAAAGCGUUAAGUGGACCGCCUGGGGAGUACGGUCGCAAGGCUAAAACUUAAAGGAAUUGACGG